This is a long non-coding RNA of Dama dama (fallow deer), 1333 nucleotides long. RefSeq lists it as uncharacterized. NCBI's taxonomy places the organism in Eukaryota, Metazoa, Chordata, Mammalia, Artiodactyla, Cervidae. The record is from RefSeq and is a predicted model, not a curated record. The transcript has 3 exons.
GAAGGUCAGAAAAUGGCUAUUGAUUAAUCUAUCAGAAUAGUUGCAGAGAGAAAUAAAAAGGACGUAAAAUAACAGAGAACCUAUAAAUAAAGCCGCAACUAGCUGCUCGGAGUUGUUAAACGACUUAGCAUGUGAAAAAGUCGGAAAUGAGGCGCUGGGGAAGGAGCCGGCAUUGGCAGCGGCCUGGGGUAUAGACAAACCCUCCAAGAUUUUAGUUCCUCAGAGACCGGCAACAGAGGAGGUGGAGGAGGAGGCGAGGAUAUGGCCAGUGCACACCGAGUUUCUUUGGCAAGGAAAGUCAGUGAUGGCAGCCUCCUUGCGAGCCGCGAGUGCCUGCCGGGUGUUAAGGGCUCCUGGAACCCAAGCCCAGUCUGGCCACUGAGGCCUGAGAAGGGAGUGCAGGCCUUACCAGAGGAAGGAGCACAAGGGGAGAUAGUCUGAGAAGAAAUAGUGAAAUUCAGUAUUUACAUAAGACACUAAGAAACUAUGUCUGUGUCUCUCUCACCUACCACCUCUCUCAUUCCUUAGCCUGGACACAUACCUAAACUUGCUUCACUCAUAGGCAGUGCGACACACAGAUUGACUUCAAUUUUCAUUAGAUAAUUUCACGGAUAAAACACAAGCACAUUGGAUCCCCCACUUCGCAGGAUGUUUCUGGUUGAAGCCGGGGCAGUUCCUCCAUCUUGAGACGCCCAGGAAACUCCACGAUUUUUCUGUAUCUAAAUGAUACCCCGGUUGCACUUGACCCUAAAAUACAUCUGAGUUCAUUCCCGCAGCUGCACCGCUUUGUGCCCCGCAGGCUCCGAACCGUUUACAAUACCUUUUAGACAGCUUCCCGCAAAACCGACUGCAGCGGCGAACUGGCUGCCCGCUGUCCCUCGGCAGCGGAGGUCCCGGGUGAAACUGUCUCAGUAACCCAAUAAUUACAAAAAGAACGUCGGAGGGACACGUAAAAGAAACUGAAUCCACAAAUUCCUUUUGCUCAGCUUCGGUUGUCCAGCCCCAGAAGCAGGCGUGGGCCGGCAGGAGCCCCACCGCAGCCUAGGAGACUGGGCCCGCGUGGACGCGUUGCACGUGUGUGUGUACGCGCGGAAGGGUAGCGGCUCCAGGGGAUGCCCUCCGCAGUCUUCUUGAAGCAUCCUCCAAAUGAGCCUAAUUUCAAUUCCUCGGCCCGCCAGGGCUGGCUCUCAGCACUCCCUCGGCGCCGCUGUUUACUGCCUCUGAGCCUCCCUCGGCCAAGACCUGGCCCCAUCCGUCCAUUCCCCCGCGUCUCUUUGGGACCUCUCUGGGGAAAGGGGUGGGGGUGAACAACUCCCAGCCGCCAGUUCCAUUU